GCGGGGAAGAGUAGCUUGCUACUUGACCUAGCGGCGGACGGGUGAGUAAUGCUUAGGAAUCUGCCUAUUAGUGGGGGACAACAUCUCGAAAGGGAUGCUAAUACCGCAUACGUCCUACGGGAGAAAGCAGGGGACCUUCGGGCCUUGCGCUAAUAGAUGAGCCUAAGUCGGAUUAGCUAGUUGGUGGGGUAAAGGCCUACCAAGGCGACGAUCUGUAGCGGGUCUGAGAGGAUGAUCCGCCACACUGGGACUGAGACACGGCCCAGACUCCUACGGGAGGCAGCAGUGGGGAAUAUUGGACAAUGGGGGGAACCCUGAUCCAGCCAUGCCGCGUGUGUGAAGAAGGCCUUUUGGUUGUAAAGCACUUUAAGCGAGGAGGAGGCUACCGAGAUUAAUACUCUUGGAUAGUGGACGUUACUCGCAGAAUAAGCACCGGCUAACUCUGUGCCAGCAGC
This 455-nucleotide ribosomal RNA is filed under the name bacterium enrichment culture clone Gp241_TX57.fa. Its description in RNAcentral is "bacterial SSU rRNA". It matches the Rfam family "Bacterial small subunit ribosomal RNA", at positions 66 to 515 of the family's 1533-position model. The record is from RNAcentral.